GCCAGUGUUGCUCAGUACAUAGAGCGUCAGCCUGCAGACUGAAAUGCCCCAGGUUCGAUUCCUGUCAAGGGCA
RNAcentral lists this transfer RNA (73 nucleotides) under Myotis lucifugus (little brown bat). It matches the Rfam family "tRNA". From Rfam's summary of the family: Transfer RNA (tRNA) molecules are approximately 80 nucleotides in length. Their secondary structure includes four short double-helical elements and three loops (D, anti-codon, and T loops). The record is from Rfam by way of RNAcentral. Lineage: Eukaryota; Metazoa; Chordata; Mammalia; Chiroptera; Vespertilionidae.